CAACUUUUAUUCUGCCUUAUCACUUGAUAUAGAUGAGCCUUACGACAUAAAAGACACGGCACAAGUUGACCUUCUUGUCAGAUAUAUGUCUUCCCAAGAUCCAAACGAAGAACUUCUUGGAUUGCUACCACCCUCAUGACAAACUAGAGAAGAAGAUACUGCUAAUUUCGUGCAAAAAUUCCUUGAAGACAAUAUAAUCAAUAUGAAUAAAAUCUUUUCAAUAGCAACUGAUGGAUCUAGAAGUAUAAAGUGAAAAAAUAAAGGGGCAACUACGAU
This is a non-coding RNA of Biomphalaria pfeifferi, 276 nucleotides long. Lineage: Eukaryota; Metazoa; Mollusca; Gastropoda; Planorbidae. The record is from the annotation of a GenBank genome assembly.